This 1160-nucleotide long non-coding RNA is filed under the name Salmo salar (Atlantic salmon). Its description in RNAcentral is "lncRNA (ENSSSAG00000104489.1)". Lineage: Eukaryota; Metazoa; Chordata; Actinopteri; Salmoniformes; Salmonidae. The record is from RNAcentral.
UCAUAUUACUUGGAUUUUUUUUUAAACAAGCACCUUUAUAAAACUGCACAAGUAGCAAUAAAUCACUGAUAUCCAUUAGGGGGUAAAUCAGGUUGUUCGUGCUGUUGAAACUAACACAACUAAAAAAACACAUGGAAAUGGGAGAUAUCUUUCACCUCACUGGUUAGAGGACAACCUGCAGAAGACAGUCUGCUACAUUUUGGAGUGAUGCAUUUCAAUUUAGGGGUCGCUAAACAAAGGAACACAACACUUAUUUGUCAUAACUCAUAGAUAUCAUGUUGAAAUCAAUUGUAAGACAGGGGGGGAGAUGAGGUUGCACGUCCUGUUAAAACUAACAGCUCAAAAACCACAUGGAAUCUGGGAAUAAUGUGUACAUCCCUGGUUAGAGGACAAUUUGUAGAAAACAGCUAGCUACAUUUUGAAGUGGUGCAUUUUGAUUCCAGUGGGUCACCAACGUGGUAAGUGGAACACAACUCUUUUUGUGUUAGUCACUUUUUGUUAAAUCACAUAAAUAGUAACUCUUCCAUUUCAGAGCCUGGAUUUUCCCCCUGAGGCUAAUAUCCAUAUCAUGUUGAAAUCAAUAGAACAGGGGACAAACGUUUAGGGUUCUACAUUGUGACAUCAUUAAAAUACUCCUUCUACAAUGUUAAAACAUUCUACAUUGUGAGAUUUCAUUUCAUUGAUAUCAUGAAACAAUUCCUUCAUGUAUGUAUUUUCUGAUGUUUGAUCAGAGAUCUUUUAUCAGAGUAUCUCUUCCCACAUAUAUCACAGCUAUAAGGUUUCUCUCCUGUGUGUGUUCUCUGGUGUUGAGUCAGAGUGCUAGAUGCUGCAAAACUCUUCCCACAUUGACCACAGCUAUAAUAUUUAUCUCCUGUGUGUGUUCUCUGGUGUAGAGUCAGAGUGCUAGAUGCAGCAAAACUCUUCCCACAUUGACCACAGCUAUAAGGUUUCUCUCCUGUGUGUGUUCUCUGAUGAAUUUUAAUGCCUGAUGAGGUGAAUCUCUUCCCACAGUCAGAGGAGCAGUGAGUUCUCUUCCCUGUGGAUCUCUGCAGGUGUUUAUUGAGGUGUUCUAAUGUGGAGAGACUCUUCUCUGCCUCUUCAGCAUCAUGAUGUUGUUGAGGCUCCCCAGAGGAUCCACGAUAGUCCCAUAUCUCUCCUGU